GGAAUCGGAUCUGCAGCCCUGUUGUUCAGAACUCACUGCACUUACCAACUGAGCCACUCGGCCGGCCUCUAAAGGUUGGUUUUGAUUGGAGGAGGGGUUAUACAUUCUAAUUAAUCCUUGAAGCAAAUCAGAACAUCAAAGUUUUAGUUGUAGCAGACUACUAGAUGCUCCCCCCAAUAUCUGUCCUCUCCAUCUUCUAUAGUCAUAGGAUUUGUAGCUGGUAUGAAUCCCAGGCUCCCUUAUAAGCCAGGUGUGACCGACUAACUUCUGGUGAGGGGAUGCAGACAGACGUGACAUAUCCAUCGUCUGCCCUGUGUCCCUAAAGAGAAGGCACACGACGCCCUUCCCUCCCCUGUUGCCUUCCCUGUCUGCGGGCUGAACCGUGGGUAAGGAUGUGGGUACAGGUGAGGGACCAGGAAGACAGGCUCCCGGGCUCCAAGAUUCUGGUGUUGACUGCUCACCUACAGUUAGAGAAAUAAACCGUCUUGGUUUAGUCAUACUUAUAUUAUCUGUCCUAGAGGUUGAAUGUACCUUCUAAGAAGGGCAAGAUACACUUGUUACAAAGGAAGGCUGUGCAACUCCCAGUAAUUGACACAGUUUGGAGAUGGACUGACUGGAUGGAUGACUGCAAAAUCACGUCUGGCCAAAGCUUGAUACAGUGACAGUAGUGUAGUUUUCCCCAGUGAAGAUGGAGCCACGGCCAUUUAACAAAGUGCUUAGACAGGCACAAGAUGGCAGCUAUUGAUUUCUCACUAUCUAAAGGUGAUGUUUGAAGCUGGUAACCCAUCUAGAAAUCUCUACAUUGAUAUACUUGAAUGAAAAUGUCCGCUUGCACAUAUCUGAAUGAGCUUUACACCAUCUUCUGACUCCAUCUACAUACUGUGCCUUUAUCUUAUUUCAGCUAUAUAGGUCCCCACUUGAAAAUUAAAUUUAAAAGCAGAUUGUAAGGCAGAAGAAAAAAACUGGACUAUUUAUUGAAGUGCAACCUUGAGGCACAGUCUCACAGCAGACAGUAUCGUAUGGAGAGCAAGGAAUGCAGACUCCUUAAACAUGAAAAAUUCCUCUCAGAAUAGGGAACAUCUUCAUACUAAGGAAGUAACAGUCUUCCUGUUUAAAACCCAGAUGGCACAGGAGGUUUUAGACUCAAGUUCUGUCCUCAAACAGUGGAAAAAUCAGGCCUCAGGAUGUGUUUGGUUCUUUUCAACUUGCUUUCCUUUUAUUAAGAAGCAGGGAAAACCGUGGGCAGUUCAAAGGUGUAGAGGUGACUCAAGGGCCCCUGUCACCCAGUUUCCAAACUCAGGUCACUAAAGGCAUCUUUUCUCUUUGCAAGAAGGAGAAAACUUUGAGCUGGUGGAUAAAAACUUUGAGCUGGUGAAUAAAAACUUUCUGUACCAGAAGCUGCUGAGUA
Hipposideros armiger (great roundleaf bat) is the source of this 1408-nucleotide long non-coding RNA. RefSeq lists it as uncharacterized. The record is from RefSeq and is a predicted model, not a curated record. Lineage: Eukaryota; Metazoa; Chordata; Mammalia; Chiroptera; Hipposideridae. The transcript has 2 exons.